This is a long non-coding RNA of Brassica rapa (field mustard), 3839 nucleotides long. RefSeq lists it as uncharacterized. Lineage: Eukaryota; Viridiplantae; Streptophyta; Magnoliopsida; Brassicales; Brassicaceae. The record is from RefSeq and is a predicted model, not a curated record.
AAGUAUUUUUUUUUACGGCAACUGCACAUUGGUAUGGAUUUUGAGGCUUAUUUUUCUUCAUACAAGACAGCACAAUCAAAUAUUUAGAGGAUUUCCUCACCUACAUCUGAAAGUCGAAAGCAUCACUUUAUUGCUACACUAAUCAAACACGUUAUUAGCUUAGUUCUUCCUAGUUUAUUAGCUUUAUACUAUAUGCUUAGAUAAUUAUAUGAAUUUUUAAUUAGAUGUAUUUGCUAAAGAAGGUACAGCUACGGUAACAUUUUUUUUGUCAACGUACAGCUACGGUAACAUAGCAUAAGGUAUUUUUGAGUAAAAAAAAUGAUUGUUUAUGUAUUACUCCUUUCUAAUAUACUUGAUAAGAACAAAUAGUUGAGAAAAUCACAUAAGCUACAAAAUAUAUACGAUUUUCUAAAUUAAUAUAUUUUAAUGUUUAUUUUUAAGUAACAAUACAAUAUUUAAUUUUCUUAAUUCUUAACAUAUGAUAAAUGUCUGACUUCAAUUGUUUUUGUUUUAAUUUUGGGAAAUUAUUCUACAUUAAUUGAUUUAUGAAUUCUUCAGAAACAUUUUGGGACCUCAACAAAUAGUUGAGAAACUCUACCAAUUUUUGUCGAUAUCAAUACAAUACUAAAAGGGGGAUAAUCUCAACUCUCAGCUAUGCCACGUCACUAAAAAUAUUCAACCAAUCAGAACAUUUCGUUUUUAGAUAUGGGCUUAAAGUUUGUUUUCAAUGCAAUUAGAUGUGUGGGCUUCGUUGGAGUUAGGUUUGGGCUUCUUUCAUUUGAUUAGACCUAAGUCUGCGACGGAGCUGAAGUCGCGAGUCUUUUCCCUUCUCCUCUACCACUUCGUCUUCUCCCCUUGAAACCAUUUCGCACUGAGCUUUAAUCGAUCCAUCAAUACUCCACAAGGGUUCGUUUCAGCUCCUUUUUUUCCUCCUUCAAUGUUCUCAGUUUGUGUUUGCAAUUGCAUAAAGGAUCGUUCUCAGAUUAACAAAGUAAGAUGAGUGGAAGUGGAGUUAAGAGUUUCCGGAACCACAAAGACACCUGCAGAUUUCCUCAAACCCAUCUGUGAGACCGUUGUGGUGAAACUCAUUAUUGGUGUUGAUUAUGGAGGUGAUGAUACUCUCUUUCUUUGAACAUAUCUUCUUCUUUGUAUUCUUCUUAUGUUGUGGCUAACAUUAAGGAUGUAGCUAAAGUUCAGCAGAGCGAUGUGAAUUCAAAUACGCUGAAGUUUAUGCCACAGAGAAUGCUCGGUACGGUGUCGUCUUCAUGAUUCCAAGUUGGUGGAAGAUAAAUGGAGAGUAGUGUUGUUGGUGAUCCGAACGGUGAGGAGCUUAUCAGCCGCAUCUGGUGAGACCAUGAUGAUACAAUCUCUUAGCUUCGAUGAUUCUGAUGCCUGCGAGGGUAUUUUUACUUAGUGGAAGCUCAGAAACAAGAGUUUCUGCAGAAGAGUUUGGUUUCUUGAAAGAGACAUGUGACAGAUACGGUGAACACGGUCCAGUGCUACAUUCCAAGUGUAUCGAUUGUUUCAAAACGUUACCUUUGGCAUCUGAUUUUGCAGAUAAUGUGUCUACACAAAUCAUGGCGGCCUCUUUCAAAGCUCCUCUCGGGUCCAUGAAGAUAGCACUUUAUUGUUGGGUUCAUUAGAGGAACUUGACAGGGUUUACAGGAGAGAAGUUGGCGAGAAUGAUGAUGGGAAUAUAACUCUUAACCAUGUUUUAUGGUCGUGUCCGUGGAUGGCUGAUGGUCUGAGCGAAAGUAAUUACAAGGGACUUCUUUGGGGAGCUGAUUGCACUGAGAGUUUUCUAAAACAAUCGAACUUAAAAGAUGAUUAUAAGAUCACGUGAAGGCCCUGAUGCAAAAUCAGAUCGAGAAGAGAUGGGAAACAUGCUAUGCAGAUACUCAGUAGAUCAUGGAGUAGAAUCUGGAGAGCUUUAUACAAUCUUCAGUGCUUCACAUCUCUCACAGGUCACUUCCCUUAAACAAAGAGAAAUACUCAAGAGCCUAGCUUUGCAGGAUUUCAUGUUCAGUGAAUGGUUUGAGAGCUGUAGGUUCAGGUUAGAUGGAGUUCUAUUACCAGCGGACCAAUCAAAUGUUUGUUCUAGCGAUGGCAUAAUUCUGCUUAUGAACUGUGCGCACAAUAUGGUACUACCAUGAUGUCAGCAUUGAUUCUCUCAGAAUCGUGAAUGGAUCAACAUUACAUAUUUCUCCACAUACUAAUCCACAAGCUACUUAACUAUGUUUGAAAGGUACAUGGGACAGAUGUUUAGAAGAGUGUGAGUCCGUGAAAUACAUGAUAUGCUUGAUGGUAUUUUCUGGAUUAGUCUUACUUCUAGCAUAUUUGUCUAUAGUUGUUUGGGAUGUAAUGAUCAACAUCUGAGUUUAUUCAGAGUAUCUGUUAUAGCGAAUUUAAGGCUUACAAUUUCAUAAAGCAAAGGACAUGUUCAUAUUGCAUAAAUACAAGAAAGUGACACAUGUUGUCGGGUUUUGUUUUAUCCAAACCAAUAACCAGAACCAAACUGAAAACAAAAAAAUACGACCUGGAAGAAAAUCAAAACACCUAAACAUAUUCAUGAACGAACAGUAUAAAUAUAUUUUCAAAAUUGAUGACAAUUUUUCUCAAACAUUUCCAAUAAUAAGUUUUUAAUAUGAAACAUAUGAUUCAUUAAAAAAAAUCACUUGGUAAAUUGAACUUCGGAUAAAACAUAUUUUGGUUACAUUACAUAUUGAUCUACUAGAACAUAUUAUUUCGUAUAUAUUUAUUAAAAAAUUUAAUUAAUCUUCAUAAAUAUUUUUAAGUACAUACAAAUUAUUGAUAAAUUAUUUAAUAACUCUCAAAAUUAUAUACACAGAUAAAAAUAGUAAAUUUAUGUUAAAAAUAUAAAUUUAAAAAUUCACAUGAAAAACAUUAAUGUAUAUUCUUCUUAUAUUUGAAUUUACAAUUCAGGUUAAAAACAUAUUUUCGUUAAUACGACGCAACAAAAUGGAAAACAUUAAAUUUAUGUUUUAUAAGAGGAGAUAAUAUAAAUUUCAAAAUUAUAUUAUAUUUAAUGUAUAUAAUAUCAUGUUAAUAUCAUUUAAAUGUCAGAAAAGUAAAAGCAAAUAAAUUCAAUAAUAGAAGAAAAUAUACAUAAUAUGAAUUUUUUUUUUUUUGAACACAAUCAUAAUAUGAAUUUAAGAGCGAGAAACAUUAAUGUUUUCAAUAUUUGUCUGUCUUAUAGCAUUUUUUAAUGUCAUUUUUUUCUCAAUUACUAAGCAACAUUUCAUAUUAUUAGUUAUUAGUAAUUUUUAUUGUUUAUUCACCUGCAUGUGGGCUGAAAGUAUGAAUUUUAGAGUCAAAACAUAUGAUGAUUUUGUUCGUCAUAUUAUCAAUCAGAGAGACCCUUUUUGACACAGCUCACAAUUCAAAAACUGAUUAUGUGUACUGGAGUUUUUUCGAGGAAAUUUUCAAGAGGCAAACACAUAAAAGAAGAAAAAUGAUUUAUUUUUAGAUAAAAAACUGUUUUUUUAGUCGAAAGAUGAUGAGUUUCCACGAUAAAAGCAGAUGAUGAUAAACUUAAUUGCGAUAAUAUCCUUUUAUUUUUUGUGUGUGACUGUGUAUAAAAAAGAAGGACAGUUUUAAAAAUUUAACAUAAGAUUUAGAUUAAAGCUACAACUAUUAGUUAAAUGUUUCUUUGCUAAAAAUAAUCGAGAUGACAUCGUUAGAAGCUAAAUUAGACCAAACUUGAAAGAAUAAUUAUAUUUUAUGGUUUGUGAUUUGAUUUUUAAAAUAAUUAGAUUCUGUUUAGCUAACUAAGUUUAUGAUUUAUAAAAUAAAUAGAUAAAUUUGACGUGUAAUUUUUA